GCGGAGGAAAAGAAACCAACUGGGAUUGCCCUAGUAACGGCGAGUGAAGCGGCAACAGCUCAAAUUUGAAAUCUGGCCUCCUCUGGUGGUCCGAGUUGUAAUUUGCAGAGGGUGCUUUGGUGUUGUCAGUGGCCUAAGUUCCUUGGAACAGGACAUCACAGAGGGUGAGAAUCCCGUCUAUGGUCGCCAGCCUUCACCGUGUAAAGCCCCUUCGACGAGUCGAGUUGUUUGGGAAUGCAGCUCUAAAUGGGAGGUAAAUUUCUUCUAAAGCUAAAUACCGGCCAGAGACCGAUAGCGCACAAGUAGAGUGAUCGAAAGAUGAAAAGCACUUUGGAAAGAGAGUCAAAUAGCACGUGAAAUUGUUGAAAGGGAAGCGCUUGCAGCCAGACUUGCCCGCAGUUGCUCAUCCGGACUCUUGCCCGGAGCACUCUUCUGCGGACAGGCCAGCAUCAGUUCGGGUGGCUGGAUAAAGGCCUCUGUCAUGUAUCUCCCUUCGGGGUGACCUUAUAGGGGAGGUGUAAUGCAGUCAACCCGGACUGAGGUCCGCGCUUUUGCUAGGAUGCUGGCGUAAUGGCUGUAAGCGGCCCGUCUUGAAACACGGACCAAGGAGUCUAACAUCUAUGCGAGUGUUUGGGUGUCAAGCCCAAGCGCGCAAUGAAAGUGAACGUAGGUGGGAACCCUCUUCUUGGGGGUGCACCAUCGACCGAUCCUGAUGUCUUCGGAUGGAUUUGAGUAAGAGCAUAGCUGUUGGGACCCGAAAGAUGGUGAACUAUGCUUGAAUAGGGUGAAGCCAGAGGAAACUCUGGUGGAGGCUCGCAGCGGUUCUGACGUGCAAAUCGAUCGUCAAAUUUGGGCAUAGGGGCGAAAGACUAAUCGAACUAUCUAGUAGCU
This 891-nucleotide small RNA is filed under the name Pseudochaetosphaeronema sp. 1 NV-2015. RNAcentral describes it as "eukaryotic LSU rRNA". It matches the Rfam family "Eukaryotic large subunit ribosomal RNA", at positions 50 to 952 of the family's 3401-position model. The record is from RNAcentral. Lineage: Eukaryota; Fungi; Ascomycota; Dothideomycetes; Pleosporales.